GACUUUUAAUAUUUUCCUACCAUCAUUCUUCAGCAUUUCUCAGUCACUAUACCUGAGCAUGGGACUAAAUAUUGAAGUCUUAAAAUAUUGACACUGUGUUCAGUUGCCCAUCUAUCACAAAAGGCAAGCAAGGCUGAUACAGACUGUAAAAAUGGAUACAUUGAUUUGCUUGAGAAAAUCACCUCUGCUUACUCCUCCCCCUGCCCAGCUAUCCAG
Non-coding RNA from Phascolarctos cinereus (koala), 216 nucleotides. Lineage: Eukaryota; Metazoa; Chordata; Mammalia; Diprotodontia; Phascolarctidae. The record is from RefSeq and is a predicted model, not a curated record.